RNAcentral lists this ribosomal RNA (734 nucleotides) under uncultured Aminobacterium sp. RNAcentral's name for it is "bacterial SSU rRNA". It matches the Rfam family "Bacterial small subunit ribosomal RNA", at positions 28 to 774 of the family's 1533-position model. The record is from RNAcentral. Lineage: Bacteria; Thermotogati; Synergistota; Synergistia; Synergistales; Aminobacteriaceae.
GACGAACGCUGGCGGCGUGCUUAACACAUGCAAGUUGAACGGAGGCAUAUCAUCACGACUUUUCGGAGGAGAGAUGAUGUGUUCUUAGUAGCGGACGGGUGAGUAAUGCAUGAGAACCUGUCCUUCAGAGGGGGACAACAGUUGGAAACGGCUGCUAAUACCCCAUAUGCCGAGAGGUGAAAGGAGUAAUCCGCUGAAGGAGGGGCUCAUGUCCUAUCAGUUAGUUGGUGAGGUAAAGGCUUACCAAGGCGAUGACGGGUAGCCGGCCUGAGAGGGUGACCGGCCACAUUGGAACUGAGAUACGGUCCAGACUCCUACGGGAGGCAGCAGUGGGGAAUAUUGGGCAAUAGGCGCAAGCCUGACCCAGCGACGCCGCGUGAGGGAAGAAGGCCUUUGGGUCGUAAACCUCUGUUGUAUGGGAAGAAGGAAGUGACGGUACCAUACGAGGAAGUCCCGGCUAACUACGUGCCAGCAGCCGCGGUAAUACGUAGGGGACGAGCGUUGUCCGGAAUUACUGGGCGUAAAGGGCGCGCAGGCGGAUAUUUAAGUCAGCUGUAAAAGGCAUGAGCUCAACUCAUGUAUGCGGUUGAAACUGGGUAUUUAGAGUGCUGGAGAGGUAGGCGGAAUUCCCGGUGUAGCGGUGAAAUGCGUAGAUAUCGGGAAGAACACCAGUGGCGAAGGCGGCUUACUGGCCAGCAACUGACGCUGAGGCGCGAAAGCCAGGGGAGCGAACG